GGCGGCGUGGCCGAGUGGUUUAGUGCGCUGGAUUUGAAAUCUGGAGGUCCCUGGUUCAAAUCCUCCACCCUGCCACGACUGCCA
Molecule: transfer RNA, 84 nt
Filed under: Desmophyllum pertusum
Lineage: Eukaryota; Metazoa; Cnidaria; Anthozoa; Scleractinia; Caryophylliidae
Description: tRNA-Ser
Source: RNAcentral